RNAcentral lists this ribosomal RNA (279 nucleotides) under uncultured bacterium. Its description in RNAcentral is "partial 16S ribosomal RNA". It matches the Rfam family "Bacterial small subunit ribosomal RNA", at positions 506 to 784 of the family's 1533-position model. The record is from RNAcentral.
UGCCAGCAGCCGCGGUAACACGGGGGGCGCAAGCGUUAUUCGGAAUUAUUGGGCGUAAAGAGCAUGUAGGCGGACUGUUAAGUCUGAUGUGAAAGCCCGGGGCUCAACCCCGGAAGUGCAUUGGAUACUGGCAGUCUUGAGUACGGGAGAGGAGAGAGGAAUUCCUGGUGUAGAGGUGAAAUUCGUAGAUAUCAGGAGGAACACCGAUGGCGAAGGCAUCUCUCUGGACCGAUACUGACGCUGAGGCGCGAAGGCGUGGGUAGCGAACGGGAUUAGAUA